Non-coding RNA from Euroglyphus maynei, 116 nucleotides. The record is from Rfam. NCBI's taxonomy places the organism in Eukaryota, Metazoa, Arthropoda, Arachnida, Sarcoptiformes, Pyroglyphidae.
AUAAAACAAUAGGAGAUAUGGCUCCCAAAACUUAUGCCGGCAUGUUUGUUGGUGCAUUAUGUGCAUUAGCCGGUGUAUUGACUAUCGCUUUACCUGUGCCUGUUAUUGUUUCAAAU